Molecule: ribosomal RNA, 515 nt
Filed under: uncultured bacterium
Lineage: Bacteria
Description: bacterial SSU rRNA
Rfam family: Bacterial small subunit ribosomal RNA
Source: RNAcentral
GACGAACGCUGGCGGCGUGCCUAAUACAUGCAAGUCGAGCGGACAGAAGGGAGCUUGCUCCCGGAUGUUAGCGGCGGACGGGUGAGUAACACGUGGGUAACCUGCCUGUAAGACUGGGAUAACUCCGGGAAACCGGAGCUAAUACCGGAUAGUUCCUUGAACCGCAUGGUUCAAGGAUGAAAGACGGUUUCGGCUGUCACUUACAGAUGGACCCGCGGCGCAUUAGCUAGUUGGUGAGGUAACGGCUCACCAAGGCGACGAUGCGUAGCCGACCUGAGAGGGUGAUCGGCCACACUGGGACUGAGACACGGCCCAGACUCCUACGGGAGGCAGCAGUAGGGAAUCUUCCGCAAUGGACGAAAGUCUGACGGAGCAACGCCGCGUGAGUGAUGAAGGUUUUCGGAUCGUAAAGCUCUGUUGUUAGGGAAGAACAAGUGCAAGAGUAACUGCUUGCACCUUGACGGUACCUAACCAGAAAGCCACGGCUAACUACGUGCCAGCCGCCGCCGUAACAC